ACGGGUGAGUAAUACAUCGGAACGUGUCCUGUAGUGGGGGAUAGCCCGGCGAAAGCCGGAUUAAUACCGCAUACGAUCUGUGGAUGAAAGCGGGGGAUCCUUCGGGACCUCGCGCUACAGGGGCGGCCGAUGGCAGAUUAGCUAGUUGGUGGGGUAAAGGCCUACCAAGGCGACGAUCUGUAGCUGGUCUGAGAGGACGACCAGCCACACUGGGACUGAGACACGGCCCAGACUCCUACGGGAGGCAGCAGUGGGGAAUUUUGGACAAUGGGCGAAAGCCUGAUCCAGCAAUGCCGCGUGUGUGAAGAAGGCCUUCGGGUUGUAAAGCACUUUUGUCCGGAAAGAAAACCUCGUGGUUAAUACCCGUGGGGGAUGACGGUACCGGAAGAAUAAGCACCGGCUAACUACGUGCCAGCAGCCGCGGUAAUACGUAGGGUGCAAGCGUUAAUCGGAAUUACUGCGCGUAAAGCGUGCGCAGGCGGUUCGCUAAGACAGAUGUGAAAUCCCCGGGCUUAACCUGGGAACUGCAUUUGUGACUGGCGGGCUAGAGUAUGGCAGAGGGGGGUAGAAUUCCACGUGUAGCA
This 584-nucleotide ribosomal RNA is filed under the name uncultured bacterium. RNAcentral describes it as "bacterial SSU rRNA". It matches the Rfam family "Bacterial small subunit ribosomal RNA", at positions 102 to 680 of the family's 1533-position model. The record is from RNAcentral.